ACACACAUACAUUUUUUAACAGUGCACACAGAGGCGCUGCCUCCAGCCCCUCCCCCUCAUGAAGUUGAGUGCAUGACAGCGUGAACAUUGCACUUUCUCUGAGAGGCUAUUGUCAAGUUUCUAGUAGCAUGCUGCUGGUGGUCUUGCUGUGGGAUUAAAUGUACUAAUAAAACCGUCGAAACAAUGCGGGCUCGCUGCUGUGAAAGCUCCCUGAACAUCAUUUAUCAGAGUCUGGUUGUUUCCCUUCUCCGCGGCAGUCUCCACUCCAUAUCUUUAUAACGGAGCUAGCUAGCUAACCGCUAAUUACA
Molecule: long non-coding RNA, 308 nt
Organism: Etheostoma spectabile (orangethroat darter)
Lineage: Eukaryota; Metazoa; Chordata; Actinopteri; Perciformes; Percidae
Exons: 4
Source: RefSeq, a predicted model, not a curated record